CCACAGUUGAUGCUUUGCUGUUGCUGCUGCUGCCGCCGCCACUGCUGCUGCUACUGCUACUGCUGCCACUGCUGCUAGAAACAGACUCUGCCUGCAGGCUGAAAGUUCUGGAUUCUACGCGAACAACAUUAUCCAAAAGACUACAGUCAACUUUCUAGCCCAACUCUGAACUCCUCCUUAAGGAACAUGGAUGAAUCUGGAAACCAUCAUUCUCAGCAAACUGACACAAGAACAGAAAACCAAACACCACAUGUUCUUACUCAUAAGUGGGUGUUGCACAAUGAGAACACAUGGACACACGAAGGGGAGCAUCACACACUGGGGCUGCUGAGGAAACGGCUGUCCCGGCUGUGCUGCCACCGGCUGAGUGAUCACUGAGAGUGAGGACACGAAGGCAACGUGGUGAACAGGAAAUGCAGACCUUUCAACUGGCU
This is a long non-coding RNA of Callithrix jacchus (white-tufted-ear marmoset), 434 nucleotides long. RefSeq lists it as uncharacterized. The record is from RefSeq and is a predicted model, not a curated record. NCBI's taxonomy places the organism in Eukaryota, Metazoa, Chordata, Mammalia, Primates, Cebidae.